RNAcentral lists this transfer RNA (92 nucleotides) under Pandoraea iniqua. RNAcentral describes it as "Pandoraea sp. LMG 31009 tRNA-Cys". Lineage: Bacteria; Pseudomonadati; Pseudomonadota; Betaproteobacteria; Burkholderiales; Burkholderiaceae. The record is from RNAcentral.
ACUCCACGCUGGUCGAUGUGUCGUUGCGACUGCCGCGUUACAAGCGCGAAGAAGGCGGGGCACGCGCUCGUGCGAUGCGGUUGCUGGAGUUC